This 143-nucleotide non-coding RNA is filed under the name human gut metagenome. The record is from RNAcentral.
UAUUAGAAGCUCUUAGUGUUUUGAAGAUAUCCAGCAAUUCCCGUACAUGGAUGUACGGGAAAGGCACAUUUGAGCCUGGAUGGCGAAUAUGUGCCGGUUGCGUGGCACUCAUAUAAUGAGAUCAAAACACUUAGAGCUUCUUU